Long non-coding RNA from Acanthopagrus latus (yellowfin seabream), 749 nucleotides. RefSeq lists it as uncharacterized. Lineage: Eukaryota; Metazoa; Chordata; Actinopteri; Spariformes; Sparidae. The record is from RefSeq and is a predicted model, not a curated record. The transcript is spliced from 4 exons.
UCUCAGUGCAGUUGCUAAUCAAAAGAACAUCUGAUUACUAGAGAAGCUGCUGAUGUUAAAUGAAGACAUGACCUGUUGACUGACAGGUGGUGCAGAAGAGCUGAUGACCGGCUGCCAAUUUCAUUAUGUUCCACACACGCUGUGUUCACUGGUAAAGAUGCAUCAGUUCAUUUCAGUCAGAUCAUCAGUACCAGCAGCUAUGUAGAGCUGGGUGUCAUCUGCAAGUGAAAGCAUGAUGACAUAUAUGGUGAGGCAAAACCCGGAAACCCGUCUAGACCUGAACCAGAGUAUUAAGGAUCAGAGUUGAAACAGGAUUCAGAGGAUGAAACUCAAAGAGACCCAGGUGGAAAAAAGUUCCCUCCAACAAAGAGCCCCAGAACAGAGAGAUUGUAACCAGAUGAAGGACGCCUAUAAAAAUGAUUGAGGAGAGUGAGGGGAAGGUGGAACCUGACGCUCUGCAGAGGCUCGUUUCCCUCUGCAGCUGCGUUCUGCUUUGUGAUACACAGCGAGAGGAAGCACUUUAAUAGAUCAUAGUGAGUAGUGGAGGACAGACGUAUGAGCUUCAGAGAUACAAAGGACAGGUAAUGACUGUUUAAACUGUCAGACUCCAGAACAGAGGACAAUUGCAUUCACCGGGCCUUCGUCUGCUGGCAGCAAUUAUAUUCUGUAUCAUUUGUUUUAUCCGGUGGGUGGAAGAAAAGACCCUGACCUCUGUGAGACUCCCUGCUGGAAUAAACCACAGAAAUACG